UCGGGGUGUGGCUCAGCUUGGCUAGAGCCUGGUUUGGGACCAGGAGGUCGCAGGUUCAAAUCCUGUCACCCCGAU
RNAcentral lists this transfer RNA (75 nucleotides) under [Clostridium] hylemonae DSM 15053. Its description in RNAcentral is "tRNA-Pro". It matches the Rfam family "tRNA". Rfam says of the family: Transfer RNA (tRNA) molecules are approximately 80 nucleotides in length. Their secondary structure includes four short double-helical elements and three loops (D, anti-codon, and T loops). Lineage: Bacteria; Bacillati; Bacillota; Clostridia; Lachnospirales; Lachnospiraceae. The record is from RNAcentral.